UUCUUUGCAUGUAUUAUUAUAUGUAUACAUCUUUUAUUUAGGAAGUUGGGGUUUCAAGAAUGGAGAUGGAACUUAUGGAACUGGAAUAUAAUACCGCCAACUCCUAUCUCGAAGAUACAACACCAACUCAGCAAUAUGUAGGCAUGAAAAAUGAACGGAUGGAUUCGGGUAGAAGAUGUAUUGGAGCCAAAUAUGAAGAGAAAAUGCAGCAAAGGACCGAAAUUCAGUCAACCAAAGUCACAUAUGACUGUUAUCUUUUUGUAACCACUUGCGUUCAGAUUCAUUGUAACUAUUGUAUGCAUUUGAGAUUUCGAAAUUUGAAUAUUUUUUAUCAACUGAGAAUG
RNAcentral lists this unclassified non-coding RNA (344 nucleotides) under Hevea brasiliensis (rubber tree). The record is from RNAcentral. Lineage: Eukaryota; Viridiplantae; Streptophyta; Magnoliopsida; Malpighiales; Euphorbiaceae.